GUACAUCUACAGACCACAACUACAACGCUGGAGUGAACCAGUCAUACAGGUUUUGAGUGAGGGGCCCACUAAAUUAUGGGUUAUGUUCCAGGGGUGGGUCCAACCUUAGAGGCUUCAGGAGACGCCCAAAGGAGGGUGUGGUUCUUGUGACUACAGAAGGAUCCACAGUCGCUCCGCAGUCACAUCUGCAACUUGGGUUUCUUUGAUCCUUCAAAGGUUUUCAUCCCUCAGGCACCAUGGCAGAUAAAUCAGAGCAGACAAUCCUCACAGCAAUGGACUUCUUAAAGGAGACCUUCUUCAAAUAUGCUGACACGGACGACGACAAAGGCACCAUGAGCAAAAAGGAACUUGCUGACUUGCUCCGCAAACAUGUGAACAUUACAAUUGAAAGCCAUUAUGAUUACUUUUUCAAAACGAUGGAUGAAGACAAAGAUGCCAAAAUUACCUUUAAGGAGUACAUGUAUUUUCUUACCGAUAUGCAUAACUUCCGUUAGAAAAGAUGUUCGCAUCAGAUCACUCAUGUUGUUUCAUUUCUGUGGGACAGCUGAGGUGUCGAAACAUCAUGUUGUGAUUGUUCAGCUGAAAUGUGCCUCACUGGAUCUGAGGAACAUCUGAGAAAACAACAAAUAAAUGAUGCACUUCUUAAAAACCGUGUGUGUGUGUGUGUGUGUGUGUGUGUGUGUGUGUGUGUCUCCUGAAAGACAGAAAAAAACCAUAAACACUUGCAUCUGAUGUUGGGGGGGGGUGGUGUAUGCUACGUUGGGCUUGUUGCUGACAGUUUAUCAAUAAAAUGUCCCAGC
RNAcentral lists this long non-coding RNA (800 nucleotides) under Takifugu rubripes (torafugu). RNAcentral describes it as "lncRNA (ENSTRUG00000026103.1)". Lineage: Eukaryota; Metazoa; Chordata; Actinopteri; Tetraodontiformes; Tetraodontidae. The record is from RNAcentral.